RNAcentral lists this long non-coding RNA (229 nucleotides) under Arachis ipaensis. Its description in RNAcentral is "long non-coding RNA (AIPA_LNC002404)". Lineage: Eukaryota; Viridiplantae; Streptophyta; Magnoliopsida; Fabales; Fabaceae. The record is from RNAcentral.
GUGCCCGUGCAUUACCAAUGACCACCUUUCUAGCUACUUUCAAGGCCCUCGCAAUCAUUCUAUGGUUAAGUUGCACAUUGUACUCCUCAAUCAUGUGAUCCAUUGCCUGCCUUGGUUUCAUAUCAGGAUGGAUAAGUAGUCUCUUAAUGAGCUUCGAUGCCACCCAGCCCCUAUCUGCCAUGUUGCUGCCAUAGUCUCUGGCACAUGUGUGCUCAUCUAUCAGAGUUUU